AAUAUUGCACAAUGGGCGCAAGCCUGAUGCAGCCAUGCCGCGUGUGUGAAGAAGGCCUUCGGGUUGUAAAGCACUUUCAGUAGGGAGGAAGGUAGUGUAGUUAACACCUGCAUUAUUUGACGUUACCUACAGAAGAAGCACCGGCUAACUCCGUGCCAGCAGCCGCGGUAAUACGGAGGGUGCGAGCGUUAAUCGGAAUUACUGGGCGUAAAGCGCAUGCAGGCGGCCUGUUAAGUCAGAUGUGAAAGCCCGGGGCUUAACCUCGGAAUUGCAUUUGAAACUGGCAGGCUAGAGUCUUGUAGAGGGGGUAGAAUUUCAGGUGUAGCGGUGAAAUGCGUAGAGAUCUGAAGGAAUACCAGUGGCGAAGGCGGCCCCCUGGACAAAGACUGACGCUCAGAUGCGAAAGCGUGGGGAGCAAACAGGAUUAGAUACCCUGGUAG
This 440-nucleotide ribosomal RNA is filed under the name uncultured bacterium. RNAcentral describes it as "bacterial SSU rRNA". It matches the Rfam family "Bacterial small subunit ribosomal RNA", at positions 360 to 793 of the family's 1533-position model. The record is from RNAcentral.